Molecule: ribosomal RNA, 252 nt
Filed under: uncultured Candidatus Cloacimonas sp.
Lineage: Bacteria; Pseudomonadati; Candidatus Cloacimonadota; Cloacimonadia (SeqCode); Cloacimonadales (SeqCode); Cloacimonadaceae (SeqCode)
Description: partial 16S ribosomal RNA
Rfam family: Bacterial small subunit ribosomal RNA
Source: RNAcentral
CACACAGUAAACGAUAAUCACUAGGUGUCGGGUUCUCAUAAUGGGUUCGGUGCCGUAGCUAACGCGUUAAGUGAUUCGCCUGGGGAGUACGAUCGCAAGGUUGAAACUCAAAGGAAUUGACGGGGGCCCGCACAAGCGGUGGAGCAUGUGGUUUAAUUCGAGGCAACGCGAAGAACCUUACCCGGGUUUGACAUCCGCAGAAUCGCUCAGAGAUGGGUGAGUGCCGGUUUACCGGAGCUGCGAGACAGGUGC